GGCAUAUCAAUAAGCGGAGGAAAAGAAACCAACAGGGAUUGCCCCAGUAACGGCGAGUGAAGCGGCAACAGCUCAAAUUUGAAAUCUGGUCCCUAGGGCCCGAGUUGUAAUUUGUAGAGGAUGCUUUUGGUGAGGUGCCGCCCGAGUUCCCUGGAACGGGACGCCACAGAGGGUGAGAGCCCCGUCUGGCUGGCCGCCGAGCCUCUGUAAAGCUCCUUCGACGAGUCGAGUAGUUUGGGAAUGCUGCUCAAAAUGGGAGGUAUAUGUCUUCUAAAGCUAAAUAUUGGCCAGAGACCGAUAGCGCACAAGUAGAGUGAUCGAAAGAUGAAAAGCACCUUGAAAAGAGGGUUAAAUAGUACGUGAAAUUGUUGAAAGGGAAGCGCUUGUGACCAGACUUGGGCGCGGCGGAUCAUCCGGGGUUCUCUCCGGUGCACUUCGCCGCGUCUAGGCCAGCAUCAGUUCGUCGCGGGGGAAAAAGGCUUCGGGAACGUGGCUCCUCCGGGAGUGUUAUAGCCCGUUGCAUAAUACCCUGCGGUGGACUGAGGACCGCGCAUCUGCAAGGAUGCUGGCGUAAUGGUCACCAGCGACCCGUCUUGAAACACGGACCAAGGAGUCGUCUUCGUAUGCGAGUGUUCGGGUGUCAAACCCCUACGCGUAAUGAAAGUGAACGCAGGUGAGAGCUUCGGCGCAUCAUCGACCGAUCCUGAUGUUCUCGGAUGGAUUUGAGUAAGAGCAUACGGGGCCGGACCCGAAAGAAGGUGAACUAUGCCUGUAUAGGGUGAAGCCAGAGGAAACUCUGGUGGAGGCUCGCAGCGGUUCUGACGUGCAAAUCGAUCGUCAAAUAUGGGCAUGGGGGCGAAAGACUAAUCGAACCUUCUAGUAGCUGGUUUCCGCCGAAGU
This 900-nucleotide ribosomal RNA is filed under the name Trichoderma harzianum. Its description in RNAcentral is "LSU rRNA". It matches the Rfam family "Eukaryotic large subunit ribosomal RNA", at positions 37 to 967 of the family's 3401-position model. Lineage: Eukaryota; Fungi; Ascomycota; Sordariomycetes; Hypocreales; Hypocreaceae. The record is from RNAcentral.